RNAcentral lists this ribosomal RNA (253 nucleotides) under uncultured bacterium. RNAcentral's name for it is "partial 16S ribosomal RNA". It matches the Rfam family "Bacterial small subunit ribosomal RNA", at positions 524 to 776 of the family's 1533-position model. The record is from RNAcentral.
UACGUAAGGGGCGAGCGUUGUUCGGAAUUAUUGGGUGUAAAGGGUGCGUAGGCGGUUUGACAAGUCUGGUGUUGAAGGCAACGGCUUAACCGUUGUUUGGCGCUGGAAACUGUAAGACUUGAGUUUAGGAGGGGGAGCUGGAAUUCCAGGUGUAGGGGUGAAAUCUGUAGAUAUCUGGAAGAACACCGGUGGCGAAGGCGAGCUCCUGGCCAUAGACUGACGCUGAGGCACGAAAGCGUGGGGAGCGAACAGG